This 359-nucleotide ribosomal RNA is filed under the name uncultured soil bacterium. RNAcentral describes it as "bacterial SSU rRNA". It matches the Rfam family "Bacterial small subunit ribosomal RNA", at positions 26 to 383 of the family's 1533-position model. The record is from RNAcentral.
AGAUUGAACGCUGGCGGCACGCCUUACACAUGCAAGUCGAACGGCAGCACGGGAGCAAUCCUGGUGGCGAGUGGCGAACGGGUGAGUAAUACAUCGGAACGUGCCCAAUCGUGGGGGAUAACGCAGCGAAAGCUGUGCUAAUACCGCAUAAGAUCUACGGAUGAAAGCAGGGGGAUCGCAAGACCUUGCGCGAAUGGAGCGGCCGAUGGCAGAUUAGGUAGUUGGUGAGGUAAAGGCUCACCAAGCCUUCGAUCUGUAGCUGGUCUGAGAGGACGACCAGCCACACGUGGGACGGAGACACGGCCCAGACUCCGUACGGGAGCAGCAGUGGGGUAAUUUGGACAAGUGGGACGAAAGCC